Molecule: non-coding RNA, 85 nt
Filed under: Escherichia albertii
Lineage: Bacteria; Pseudomonadati; Pseudomonadota; Gammaproteobacteria; Enterobacterales; Enterobacteriaceae
Source: RNAcentral
UCAAUGGUGGGCUGGACGAGGGCAUCGCAAGGUGCGCCGGUAUCCAGUAUGGCCGGUAAGGUCAACCUCGUUCAGUCCACCACCC